RNAcentral lists this ribosomal RNA (472 nucleotides) under uncultured bacterium. RNAcentral's name for it is "bacterial SSU rRNA". It matches the Rfam family "Bacterial small subunit ribosomal RNA", at positions 355 to 825 of the family's 1533-position model. The record is from RNAcentral.
UGGGGAAUAUUGGACAAUGGGCGAAAGCCUGAUCCAGCCAUGCCGCGUGUGUGAAGAAGGUCUUCGGAUUGUAAAGCACUUUAAGUUGGGAGGAAGGGCAGUAAAUUAAUACUUUGCUGUUUUGACGUUACCGACAGAAUAAGCACCGGCUAACUCUGUGCCAGCAGCCGCGGUAAUACAGAGGGUGCAAGCGUUAAUCGGAAUUACUGGGCGUAAAGCGCGCGUAGGUGGUUCGUUAAGUUGGAUGUGAAAUCCCCGGGCUCAACCUGGGAACUGCAUUCAAAACUGACGAGCUAGAGUAUGGUAGAGGGUGGUGGAAUUUCCUGUGUAGCGGUGAAAUGCGUAGAUAUAGGAAGGAACACCAGUGGCGAAGGCGACCACCUGGACCUGUACUGACGCUCAUGCACGAAAGCGUGGGGAGCAAACAGGAUUAGAUACCCCCGUAGUCCCUGAGCGGGCUGGCAAGGCGCAU